Molecule: long non-coding RNA, 112 nt
Organism: Hibiscus syriacus
Lineage: Eukaryota; Viridiplantae; Streptophyta; Magnoliopsida; Malvales; Malvaceae
Exons: 2
Source: RefSeq, a predicted model, not a curated record
AAAAAACCAAUGGCUAAACUUGUUGUUGUCUUCUUCUUGGCUCUCAUUGCCAUCUCUAUGCUUCAAACAAUGGUAAUGGCAUCACAUGGCCAUGGAGGUCACCACUAUGAUC